RNAcentral lists this ribosomal RNA (253 nucleotides) under uncultured bacterium. RNAcentral describes it as "partial 16S ribosomal RNA". It matches the Rfam family "Bacterial small subunit ribosomal RNA", at positions 524 to 776 of the family's 1533-position model. The record is from RNAcentral.
UACGAAGGGAGCUAGCGUUGUUCGGAAUCACUGGGCGUAAAGCGCACGUAGGCGGAUGUGUCAGUCAGGGGUGAAAUCCCGGAGCUCAACUUCGGAACUGCCUUUGAUACAGCACGUCUUGAGUCCGAUAGAGGUGGGUGGAAUUCCUAGUGUAGAGGUGAAAUUCGUAGAUAUUAGGAAGAACACCGGUGGCGAAGGCGGCCCACUGGAUCGGUACUGACGCUGAGGAGCGAAAGCCAGGGGAGCAAACGGG